Molecule: long non-coding RNA, 419 nt
Organism: Vidua macroura (Pin-tailed whydah)
Lineage: Eukaryota; Metazoa; Chordata; Aves; Passeriformes; Viduidae
Exons: 4
Source: RefSeq, a predicted model, not a curated record
AGGUUUUCCUGAUGCUGUUCCAAGGCUUUAUGGAAAAUAUUCCAAGAUUUUCUGAAGACAUUCCAUAAAUUCCUGUCCAUAUCCCAAGGUUUUCCUGUGCUUUUUCCAAGAUUUUAUGGAAAAUAUCCCAAGAUUUCGUGAGGAUAUUCCAUAAAUUCCUGUCGAUAUUCCCAGGGUUUCCUGUGCUUUUUCCAAGGUUUUAUGGAAAAUAUCCCAAGGUUUUCUGAGGAUAUUCCAUAAAUUCCUGUCCAAAUUCCAAGGUUUUCCUGUGUUAUUCCAUAAAUUCCUGUCAUUAUCCCGAGGUUUCCUGAUGCUGUUCCACGAUUUUAUGGAAAAUAUUCCAAGAUUUUCUGAAGAUAUUCCUUAAAUUCCUGUAGAUAUCCCAAGGGUUUCCUGUGCUUUUCCCAAGGUUUUAUGGA